This 74-nucleotide transfer RNA is filed under the name Podila verticillata. Its description in RNAcentral is "Mortierella verticillata tRNA-Gln". It matches the Rfam family "tRNA". Rfam says of the family: Transfer RNA (tRNA) molecules are approximately 80 nucleotides in length. Their secondary structure includes four short double-helical elements and three loops (D, anti-codon, and T loops). RNAcentral also lists the same sequence under 1 other name. The record is from RNAcentral. Lineage: Eukaryota; Fungi; Mortierellomycota; Mortierellomycetes; Mortierellales; Mortierellaceae.
UGGGUUCUAGUCUAAUCUGGCAGGACACUUAAAUUUGACUUAAGAGAUUGGUAGUUCGAAUCUACCGAACCCAG